Molecule: RNA transcript, 2153 nt
Organism: Homo sapiens (human)
Lineage: Eukaryota; Metazoa; Chordata; Mammalia; Primates; Hominidae
Gene: PREB
Gene name: prolactin regulatory element binding
Exons: 9
Source: RefSeq, marked reviewed
AGUGCGCGUCUGCGAGACCGACUUGGACGGAGCCGAGCUGAGGCUCGGCUUCCUGCUGAUGGUCAGGGUUUUGGCAACUCCCCGGUGUGAGAGGGGUAGGGAGUGCUCCCGGCGGCGACGGGGCCGAGUUCACCAGCCGCCGGGGCAGUAGUCGAAGGCCCGGCGCGGCAUGUCCUGGGUGCCGCGGUGCGGGCAGUGAACGCGCGCCGGGCGGGAUGGGCCGGCGCCGGGCGCCAGAGCUGUACCGGGCUCCGUUCCCGUUGUACGCGCUUCAGGUCGACCCCAGCACUGGGCUGCUCAUCGCUGCGGGCGGAGGAGGCGCCGCCAAGACAGGCAUAAAGAAUGGCGUGCACUUUCUGCAGCUAGAGCUGAUUAAUGGGCGCUUGAGUGCCUCCUUGCUGCACUCCCAUGACACAGAGACACGGGCCACCAUGAACUUGGCACUGGCUGGUGACAUCCUUGCUGCAGGGCAGGAUGCCCACUGUCAGCUCCUGCGCUUCCAGGCACAUCAACAGCAGGGCAACAAGGCAGAGAAGGCCGGUUCCAAGGAGCAGGGGCCUCGACAAAGGAAGGGAGCAGCCCCAGCAGAGAAGAAAUGUGGAGCGGAAACCCAGCACGAGGGGCUAGAACUCAGGGUAGAGAAUUUGCAGGCGGUGCAGACAGACUUUAGCUCCGAUCCACUGCAGAAAGUUGUGUGCUUCAACCACGAUAAUACCCUGCUUGCCACUGGAGGAACAGAUGGCUACGUCCGUGUCUGGAAGGUGCCCAGCCUGGAGAAGGUUCUGGAGUUCAAAGCCCACGAAGGGGAGAUUGAAGACCUGGCUUUAGGGCCUGAUGGCAAGUUGGUAACCGUGGGCCGGGACCUUAAGGCCUCUGUGUGGCAGAAGGAUCAGCUGGUGACACAGCUGCACUGGCAAGAAAAUGGACCCACCUUUUCCAGCACACCUUACCGCUACCAGGCCUGCAGGUUUGGGCAGGUUCCAGACCAGCCUGCUGGCCUGCGACUCUUCACAGUGCAAAUUCCCCACAAGCGCCUGCGCCAGCCCCCUCCCUGCUACCUCACAGCCUGGGAUGGCUCCAACUUCUUGCCCCUUCGGACCAAGUCCUGUGGCCAUGAAGUCGUCUCCUGCCUCGAUGUCAGGUGUGAGACAUUGCUGCCUUGGCUAGUGAAUCCGGCACCUUCCUAGGCCUGGGCACAGUCACUGGCUCUGUUGCCAUCUACAUAGCUUUCUCUCUCCAGUGCCUCUACUACGUGAGGGAGGCCCAUGGCAUUGUGGUGACGGAUGUGGCCUUUCUACCUGAGAAGGGUCGUGGUCCAGAGCUCCUUGGGUCCCAUGAAACUGCCCUGUUCUCUGUGGCUGUGGACAGUCGUUGCCAGCUGCAUCUGUUGCCCUCACGGCGGAGUGUUCCUGUGUGGCUCCUGCUCCUGCUGUGUGUCGGGCUUAUUAUUGUGACCAUCCUGCUGCUCCAGAGUGCCUUUCCAGGUUUCCUUUAGCUUCCCUGCUUCCUGGGAAUCAGGAGCCUGGACACUGCCAUCUCUAGAGCAGAGUGGAGGCCUGGACUCCCUUUGCUCACUCCAUUCGGGUCCACAGCUGAGGUUGCCGCUGACAAGAUGAAUGGGCACUGCCUGCCCUUCUAGUGAAAAGGCUUGGCUAUGGCCCUGUGUGACUCCAGGUCCCAGGAACCUUGCCUUCGUCAUCUGUGGAUCCAUCCAGAACAGCGGUAUCUGAAGCCCAGGCCAUACUCCCUGCCUCCUUUCUUCUGCCUACCAGAGGCUCCAGAGUUGAGCUUGUCCUUAUCUAGAAACAUGUGAAGAUGCCCAAGAGCCUGGAGGCACUGCUGUCCUUCCUGCAGAAACAGUUUCUCCUCCUCCCCUCAGCCUUGUGGCCAGUUCCUCUUCACAUGAAGCCCCUGGCAUUUGCUGGGGAAGGGACUGGCCUGGUACUUGCUGUUAGGGCAGGAAGGGGCAAAAGGAAGACUUGGGUAGUAAUCUGGGGGUUCAGAUGGGUAGCACUAAGCCAGCUGGCCUAAAGAUGCAAUAAGUUCCUAGGUAGUCUACCCUUACCUUGAGGAAUGGGAAAAUGAACCUCAGCCCAUUAGGCAGGAAAAGUUGAUAUUUAAUAAACAAGGAAAGAGUGAACUGAGACCCCAAA